RNAcentral lists this long non-coding RNA (4015 nucleotides) under Daucus carota (carrot). Its description in RNAcentral is "long non-coding RNA (DCAR_LNC003394)". The record is from RNAcentral. Lineage: Eukaryota; Viridiplantae; Streptophyta; Magnoliopsida; Apiales; Apiaceae.
GUGCUCCUCAACAGUGGCUGUCAAGGGAUGAGAUCUGGAUGGUAAGCUGAUGGAACGAGAAUGAGCACUAACUUUUGUGGUUGCAAUUGAGGCUGCCAUUUUUAUUUGCAGGAGGAAUUAGAUGCCAAUGAAAAUCCUGAACUCAAGGUUUGUUUGAUUGAACUCUCACCUUGGCACCUUUUUAUAAACUAUGAGGAGACAAAAGGAAUCAACCUAAUUUCCUUCAUGUGCUGAACAGAGAAACAGGCCAAGUAUCAGAAAAUGCAGAUCUCAAUUGUAGCAGUGUCUGUGGGAGGAGGAACAUUUGCUUGGCACAAAAUAAUAUAAUAUGCAAGAAACCAGGCUGGCGUUCAUCUGCAAAUUUUGGUAAGUUUUCUAAUAUGAAAACAAGUUAAGACCAGGGGUAUAAUUUUGCAUCUCAUGUGUUAUAUAUUAAAGUUGUCUUGAAAUUCAUAUACAUUGCAUUAUUUUUUGCAUCUUGUUGUUAGACAUGUUGUAUAUUAUUGUUAAGUAAAACAGCGCAUGAAUGGCUUGGCAUUUUUUUUAUGCAUAGAAUUAGUGAGGGCCUUUAUUGCUCCAUUCGGUCUCUAGCGAUGCAGAGCUGAACACUUGAGAUCUGUCAUUAUGUGUACUGGGUAGACAGAAGGAAUCUGAACAGCCUGCAGUCAGUUUGCAAGAACCAUUAAGGUGUGACUAGGUGUCCUGGUAACUAGGGGCUGAGGGCAAAACAGGCUAGAAUAGGGAUUAGUGACUCGGGUUGACCUAGCAAUGCAGUUUGUAAAAUUUUGUGUGUGAUUACUAUAUUAUAGUUUGAUUAUAUAUCUGGAUGAUCUGAAUUUUAAAGCUAUUUGCACUCAAAUCGCAAUUAAUCUUCUGUGUAUGUUUAUAUUAAUAUGAAUUGCCACCCGGAUCCGGUCUACUUCUAGUUUACAUUAGAUAGAUAAUUACAGUAUUGAUUGCCAGAAAAGAAUUGGGGAAGGGUAUAACUCCUUUUUAGACCCUGCACUGCGUUCUUAUUUGCGGUUUUGGGAUAGUGUGAUGGGUAUGAGCAGGAUCCUGCUGCAGAAAUAUAUAUAUUUUGCAAAUUGUGUUGUUGAUGAAAUAUACGCGAAACUGAAUAUUGACUUUAAACAGUCGUUUUCGCAAUCUUUCUCGUUGAUAAUAUACUAGCUUCAUAUACAGUCUGUCCUCAUGUAUGUACAAAAACUGAUCCCUCACAAAAAUUCGGGGAUGCAGUAACAGUCUAUCUAAUAUACAGUUCUGUUGGAAAAGAACUAGUGGUUGAGCACAUUGAGAAUUAAUACUCGUGUCUUGAUCAAUGAUCGGACUAGACAGUCUAAUUGUUCUUCACAUUCUUGCAUAUUCAUGUCCAAUGCCGUCAGACAUUUCUGAACGUCUUGUGUUUCUGUGAUAUCACUUUUUUUGCUUGAUUUCUUGCUGAUAGCUUCUAAAGCCAUAUCCAUGUUGUGAACUUGGUUGAUAAUUUCUUCUGUGUCCUCUUCACAAUGUACACGCUUGGACUGUGUUGACUUGAAAACCUUUGACCAUGUGCUUUUUGUCGAUGCUUCCUUUGCAGGACAGAUGGAUGAGAAGAUAGACUCGAAAACUGAGAUGCUGACUUCUUCGACUUCCCUUAGAAGGCUCACGAUAGCAGGAGUCUCGAUGCUUUUGUUAAUUUUGGACUUCUUAGAACCAGCAAAGCACUUGGAGAGCAUUCUGUUUGCCUUUUUCUUACAUACCAGGUAGCUUGCGAUUCUGCUUGAUACAUCAGUUUGUCUUCUACGUAGAGAGGAUUCUAGAUCUUGAACUGAAUCUCUCAUAUGCGAGAGAGCAUCUUUUGAGGUGCUGCACAGAUCCAAUAACCUAAUGGACCCGCAAAGAAUAUCUUCUCCGCAGCUCAAACGAUCUUGCUGUGCGGCUUGCGAUUGGAUCAAAUCUUCUACACACUCAUAUAAGUCUUGAAGAGCGGAUAAUUUGUCGCAUUUGGAUACUGUCGAUGAGGAUGUCCCUUCCGGGGUCCUUAAUCUGCACAAGUGCUCCUCAACAGUGGCUGUCAAGGGAUGAGAUCUGGAUGGUAAGCUGAUGGAACGAGAAUGAGCACUAACUUUUGUGGUUGCAAUUGAGGCUGCCAUUUUAUUUGCAGGAGGAAUUAGAUGCCAAUGAAAAUCCUAAACUCAAGGUUUGUUUGAUUGAACUCUCACGUUGGCACCUUUUUAUAAACUAUGAGGAGACAAAAGGACUCAACCUAAUUUCCUUCAUGUGCUGAACAGAGAAACAGGCCAAGUAUCAGAAAAUGCAGAUCUCAAUUGUAGCAGUGUCUGUGGGAGGAGGAACAUUUGCUUGGCUUAAAUUAAUAAUGGACCAGGCUGGCGAUCAUCUUCAAAUUUUGGUAAGUUUAUUGAUAUGAAGAUAAAAUGAGACAAUGCGUAUAAUUUGUCCAUUGGUAUGUUAUAUAUAAAAGCUGUCUUCCUAUCCAUGUACAUUGCAUCAUUUGUCUCAUCUUGUUACAAAUGUUAAUAUUAGAAAAUACAACCGUGCUUGAAUGGCUUGGAUAUUUUAUCAGAGAAUUGGAGGGGGCCUUUAUUGUUGCAUGUGAUUUUUAACUAUGCAGAAAUGAACUCUUAUGAUCUGUCUUUAAUUAUGUUGGCUGGACUGGAGGAAUCGGUAGAGCCUGCAAUUAGUCCUUAAAAUGAUAUAUGCAGGUCAUUAUUUAUUAUUAAGAAUUAAAAAGAGGUUAGAGCAGGGACCAGUCAGAUAGUUGACCUAGUGUUGCAGUUCACAAAGUUGUGGAAGUACAAUAUUUGAGCUUUGGUUAUUAAUAUCUGUUAUUUUCUUGCUAAAACUAUUUUGCUGCAUAAUAUCCGUGACUUUUAUCUAGGAAACUCUGUCUAUAUGUAUUAUAUUAUGCUUUUUAACACGAUUCCUGCCUAGCUCAUGUUUUACUGCUAAUGGAAAGUUGCUGUCUGAAUCUGCAAAUAAAAAAGAAAGAAUAUUAAGUACCAUUGUAUAAUUGCCUUGCAACUUUUUUAUUAUUAUUAACGAUUGAUUAAAAAGGGACAAACUAAUUCCGCAAAUGGUAGACUUUUUUUAUCUUUUUUGAAGAAAAUCGAAACUUGAUAUGCAAUCAUCGUUGCAUAAUCUUUUCACUUUAAUUUUACUAUAAGUCAUGUAUAGUUUCUAUAUAUUCAUUUACAUCAACUCUUUUGUCACAAUUUUUUGGAUGCAGUACAAUACCACAAUCCUACCUAAUAUAAGGUUGUUUUUAGAAAGAAUUGGUUGAGCACAUUCGAUCAGACAUCUCUAGAUGUAUCGUGCUCCUGAUGCCAUUUCUUAUUCUUUUGAAUUUCCGAGCCAUGUCCAUUUUUUGAAUUUGCUCGAAAUUUUGUCUCUGUCCACUUGAUGUUGUACACAUUUGGCUUGUGUUUACUGGAAGUUUUCUUUUAAUGUUUGCUUUACAGAACAGAUGGAAGAGAAGAUUGAGCUGAAUACUGUUAUGCUGACUUCUUUAACGUCUCUCAGAAUGCUCAUUUGCAGGAGUCUUGAUGCUUCUAAUCAGAAGCUCUUGUUUGCGAUAAAGCAUGGUUUUAGGUGCUGCAUAAAUCAAAUGAACUAAUAGACAUGUUAAGAAUAUCUUUUCCUUUUAACUUUUUUUUAGCGGCUGGUAGUUCGAGGGUCUUACACACUCAAGCAAGUUGUGCAGCGCAAUAAUUUGUUGCAAUCAGAUAUUCUGAAGUAUACACACACACACACACACACACACAUACUUAUUAUUUCCAUAUUCUAUUCACUACUGACAGUCUGAGGGAUAAUUUUUGGAUGGAAAGCUCAUGGAACGAAAAUGAACAGUCUUUUCUUGACCAUGAUCCUUGCAAGUACAUUAGAUGCCCAUGAAUGCUAAACUCAACUUUAGUUUGAUAAACCUCUUCUAUAAGUGCCCUGUGUGUGUUUUUCUAGAGAGAAAAUGAACAUAUUGUUGUAACUUGAUAUUUCCAAUGUGUUCAACAUUGAAACUUGC